This 253-nucleotide ribosomal RNA is filed under the name uncultured bacterium. Its description in RNAcentral is "partial 16S ribosomal RNA". It matches the Rfam family "Bacterial small subunit ribosomal RNA", at positions 524 to 776 of the family's 1533-position model. The record is from RNAcentral.
UACGUAGGGGGCUAGCGUUGUCCGGAAUCAUUGGGCGUAAAGCGCGUGUAGGCGGCUCGGUAAGUCCGCUGUGAAAGUCGGGGGCUCAACCCUCGGAUGCCGGUGGAUACUGUCGGGCUAGAGUACGGAAGAGGCGAGUGGAAUUCCUGGUGUAGCGGUGAAAUGCGCAGAUAUCAGGAGGAACACCAAUGGCGAAGGCAGCUCGCUGGGACGUGACUGACGCUGAGACGCGAAAGCGUGGGGAGCAAACAGG